Molecule: ribosomal RNA, 119 nt
Filed under: Pteropus alecto (black flying fox)
Lineage: Eukaryota; Metazoa; Chordata; Mammalia; Chiroptera; Pteropodidae
Source: RNAcentral
GUCUACGGCCAUGCCACCCUGAGCAAGCCCCAUCCCAUCUGAUCUUGGAAGCUAAGUAGAGUUGGGCCUGUUUAGUACUUGGAUGGGAGACCACCUAGUAAGACCAGGUGCUGCAGGUG